This 2741-nucleotide ribosomal RNA is filed under the name human gut metagenome. RNAcentral's name for it is "bacterial LSU rRNA". It matches the Rfam family "Bacterial large subunit ribosomal RNA". The record is from RNAcentral.
AGGGCAUUUGGUGAAUGCCUUGGCAAUCAGAGGCGAAGAAGGACGUAAUACAUUGCGAAAAGCUCAGGGGAGUUAUGAAUAGGCAUUGAUCCUGAGAUAUCCUAAUGGGGAAACCCGGCCGUAAGGUCAUCAUUAUCUGAAAAGAUAGGGUAAUGAAGCGAACUGAGCGAACUGAAACAUCUAAGUAGCUCAAGGAAAGGAAAUCAACCGAGACUCCGAAAGUAGUGGCGAGCGAAAUCGGACCAGCCAAAAAAGACAUAGGGCGCAAGAAGAACAUUCUGGGAAGGAUGACCAAAGAAGGUGAUAGUCCUGUAUUUAUAAGCAAACUAUGUAAAAACGAGUAGGGCGGAGCACGAGAAAUUCUGCCUGAAGAUGGGUAGACCACUAUCCAAGGCUAAGUACUACUGAUUGACCGAUAGUGAACAAGUACCGUGAGGGAAAGGUGAAAAGCACCCCGAUAAGGGGAGUGAAAGAGAACCUGAAACCGGAUGCCUACAAGCAGUCGGAGGAACAUUAAGUUCUGACGGCGUACCUUUUGUAUAAUGGGUCAGCGACUUAAUUUAUGUAGCAAGCCUAAGCCGAUAGGUGUAAGCGAAGCGAAAGCGAGUGUUAAUAGCGCGAAAAGUUACAUGGAUUAGACCCGAAACCGAGUGAUCUAGCUAUGAGCAGGUUGAAGGUUGGGUAACACCAACUGGAGGACCGCACCCACGCCUGUUGAAAAAGUCGGGGAUGACUUGUAGCUAGGGGUGAAAGGCCAAUCAAACUCGGAAAUAGCUGGUUCUCCGCGAAAACUAUUUAGGUAGUGCGGCAAGCGAAUACCUUGAGGGGUAGAGCACUGGAAGAAUGAGGGGGGAGCGAUCCUUACUAAAUUUUACCAAACUCCGAAUACUCAAGAGUAAUACUUGCCAGACAGACAGUAGGUGCUAAGGUCUAUUGUCGAGAGGGAAAGAGCCCAGACCGUCAAUUAAGGUCCCUAAAUUAUGGCUAAGUGGUAAAGGAAGUGAAUUGUCCAAAACAGUCAGGAGGUUGGCUUAGAAGCAGCCAUCCUUUAAAGAAAGCGUAAUAGCUCACUGAUCUAAUUAAGACGAUUUGCGCCGAAGAUGUAACGGGGCUAAAGCCAUAUACCGAAAUUACGGGUUUGUACUAAGUACAAGCGGUAGCGGAGCGUUCUGUAAGCCUGCGAAGGUGUUCCGUAAGGAAUGCUGGAGGUAUCAGAAGUGAGAAUGCUGACAUGAGUAGCGAAAAGAAGUGUGAGAGACACUUCCGCUGAAAGUCCAAGGUUUCCUGCGUAAAGCUAAUCUGCGCAGGGUUAGUCGGCCCCUAAGGUGAGGCUGAGAAGCGUAGCUGAUGGGAAGCAGGUUAAUAUUCCUGCACCAGCUAGGAGGUGACGGAUUUCAAAGAUUGUAACUGAUUAUUGGAUUUCGGUUGCAGUUCAGAAGUUCCAGGAAAGAGCCCUAGCAUAGACCGUACCCCAAACCGACACAGGUGGACAGGUAGAGAAUACCAAAGCGCUUGAGAGAACUAUGUUGAAGGAACUAGGCAAAAUGCUUGUGUAACUUCGGGAUAAGCAAGCCCCAUUUUUAGGCAACUAAAGGUGGGGGGCACAUACUAGGGGGUAGCGACUGUUUACUAAAAACACAGGGCUCUGCUAAAUUGAAAGAUGAAGUAUAGGGUCUGACGCCUGCCCGGUGCUGGAAGGUUAAGGAGAGAUGUUCACGCAUUGAACUGAAGCCCCAGUAAACGGCGGCCGUAACUAUAACGGUCCUAAGGUAGCGAAAUUCCUUGUCGGGUAAGUUCCGACCUGCACGAAUGGCAUAACGAUGGCCACACUGUCUCCUCCCGAGACUCAGUGAAGUUGAAAUGUUUGUGAUGAUGCAAUCUCCCCGCGGCUAGACGGAAAGACCCCAUGAACCUUUACUGUAGCUUUGCAUUGGACUUUGAACCGAUUUGUGUAGGAUAGGCGGGAGGCAGAGAAAGCGCAACGCCAGUUGUGCCGGAGCCGACGUUGAAAUACCGCCCUGAUUUGUUUGAGGUUCUAACCUGGGCCAGUAAUCCUGGCUGGGGACCGUGCAUGGUGGGCAGUUUGACUGGGGCGGUCUCCUCCUAAAGGGUAACGGAGGAGUACGAAGGUACGCUAGGUACGGUCGGAAAUCGUGCUGAUAGUGCAAUGGCAAAAGCGUGCUUGACUGCGAGAGCAACAACUCGAGCAGAUGCGAAAGCAGGUCAUAGUGAUCCGGUGGCUCUGAAUGGAAGGGCCAUCGCUCAACGGAUAAAAGGUACUCUGGGGAUAACAGGCUGAUACCGCCCAAGAGUUCAUAUCGACGGCGGUGUUUGGCACCUCGAUGUCGGCUCAUCUCAUCCUGGGGCUGUAGCCGGUCCCAAGGGUAUGGCUGUUCGCCAUUUAAAGAGGUACGUGAGCUGGGUUUAAAACGUCGUGAGACAGUUUGGUCCCUAUCUGCCGUGGGCGUUGGAAGAUUGACGGGGGCUGCUCCUAGUACGAGAGGACCGGAGUGGACGCACCUCUGGUGUACCGGUUGUCACGCCAGUGGCAUUGCCGGGUAGCUAAGUGCGGAAGAGAUAACCGCUGAAAGCAUCUAAGCGGGAAACUUGCCUGAAGAUGAGUCUUCCCGGAGGUUGAACCUCCCUCAAGAGUCGUCCGAGACCAGGACGUCGAUAGGUCAGGUGUGUAAGCGCUGUAAGGCGUUGAGCUAACUGAUACUAAUUGCUCGUGAGGCUUGAUC